This 72-nucleotide transfer RNA is filed under the name Loxodonta africana (African savanna elephant). It matches the Rfam family "tRNA". From Rfam's summary of the family: Transfer RNA (tRNA) molecules are approximately 80 nucleotides in length. Lineage: Eukaryota; Metazoa; Chordata; Mammalia; Proboscidea; Elephantidae. The record is from Rfam by way of RNAcentral.
GCCGUGGUGGCACAACAGUUAAGCACUUGGCUGAUAACCGAGAGGUUGACAGUUCAAACCCAUCCAGCGGCU